UACGGGGGGGGCAAGCGUUGUUCGGAAUUACUGGGCGUAAAGGGCUCGUAGGCGGCCAACUAAGUCAGACGUGAAAUCCCUCGGCUUAACCGGGGAACUGCGUCUGAUACUGGAUGGCUUGAGAUUGGGAGAGGGAUGCGGAAUUCCAGGUGUAGCGGUGAAAUGCGUAGAUAUCUGGAGGAACACCGGUGGCGAAGGCGGCAUCCUGGACCAACACUGACGCUGAGGAGCGAAAGCGUGGGGAGCAAACAGG
RNAcentral lists this ribosomal RNA (253 nucleotides) under uncultured bacterium. RNAcentral's name for it is "partial 16S ribosomal RNA". It matches the Rfam family "Bacterial small subunit ribosomal RNA", at positions 524 to 776 of the family's 1533-position model. The record is from RNAcentral.